ACAACUAAGAGAUCAUCAGUGAGGUGGUCGGCUGGACUGGUUCGACGAUGGGCUGGGCGAUCUAUGAGGGUUGUUUGAUGCCGCCAAUUGCCCUACACAGAGAAGAGAUUGCUUGUGUGAGACCAGAUGAAUAUAUAUCAUGUAGGACUAAAAUUUUGAUACUCACAUGAGUAUGGAACUGAGAAGAGUUAACUGUAGAGAACAACAGAGGUGGUGGAGCAAGACCCUGUGCAGCACCAAGGCUCUGCAUGUACUAGAACAUCUCACCCAUCCUCUGCUGAUCCGCC
RNAcentral lists this long non-coding RNA (287 nucleotides) under Zea mays. Its description in RNAcentral is "long non-coding RNA (ZMAY_LNC004184)". Lineage: Eukaryota; Viridiplantae; Streptophyta; Magnoliopsida; Poales; Poaceae. The record is from RNAcentral.